RNAcentral lists this ribosomal RNA (460 nucleotides) under uncultured bacterium. RNAcentral describes it as "partial 16S ribosomal RNA". It matches the Rfam family "Bacterial small subunit ribosomal RNA", at positions 338 to 795 of the family's 1533-position model. The record is from RNAcentral.
CCUACGGGAGGCUGCAGUGAGGAAUAUUGGUCAAUGGACGCUAGUCUGAACCAGCCAAGUAGCGUGAAGGAUGACUGCCCUAUGGGUUGUAAACUUCUUUUAUAAGGGAAUAAAACGCAGCACGUAUACCGUUUUGCAUGUACUUUAUGAAUAAGGAUCGGCUAACUCCGUGCCAGCAGCCGCGGUAAUACGGAGGAUCCGAGCGUUAUCCGGAUUUAUUGGGUUUAAAGGGAGCGUAGAUGGGUUGUUAAGUCAGUUGUGAAAGUUUGCGGCUCAACCGUAAAAUUGCAAUUGAUACUGGCAGUCUUGAGUACAGUUGAGGUAAGCGGAAUUCGUGGUGUAGCGGUGAAAUGCUUAGAUAUCACGAAGAACUCCGAUUGCGAAGGCAGCUUACUAAACUGUGACUGACACUGAUGCUCGAAAGUGUGGGUAUCAAACAGGAUUAGAUACCCGUGUAGUC